Molecule: long non-coding RNA, 1251 nt
Filed under: Gossypium barbadense (sea-island cotton)
Lineage: Eukaryota; Viridiplantae; Streptophyta; Magnoliopsida; Malvales; Malvaceae
Description: long non-coding RNA (GBAR_LNC010931)
Source: RNAcentral
AAAAUAAAAAUAAUAUAAUAUCAAGUAAAAAAAUGAUGAUGAUAAUAUUAAUAAAAGAAAAAAAUAUAUAUAUACAUACAUAUACCAAAAAUAUAUUCAUAAUAAUAGUAUUGAGUAUCAAAAGUAUAUAUCUAAUAUAGACGAAAAUAUAGGCAUAAUAUAAUAUUGAAGGUAUUUACAUGGGAUAAUAAAAAAAUGUAUGAAUAAUGUGAUAUAUUAAAAAUAUAUACAUAAUAUACAUAAAAAUAUUGUAAUAGCCCAAAUUCGCCCAGGCUUAAUAAACCAAACAGAAAACCAAAAAAAUAAAAUAAAAUGUCCAAUUUGUACGGUCCAUGUUACAAAAGAAAUAAAGCCCAAAAGGCAAAUUAUACCCCAUACACCCAUUACACUCGUGGCCCAACACCCAAUACCCCAUUAGCCUAAAUCAAACCCAGAUACCAACACUACCCGGUAGACCCAACCCGUUACAUUAUAGACCCAUUUCUAAAAGCCUACUCCUAAGACCCAAUAAGCUGCAUCCCGAAAGCCCAAAUGCUUAACCCUAGGUCAGGAACCCUAGGGUUUCUGCACCUUUCAGCGCCGUAAGCAUCCACAGACCUCGUAUCGAGCCGCUAUCAGUUCCCUCAUCAUCGCUGUGAUUCACACCGUAAACCUGCAAAAGGAAGGAAAAGGGCACAGAAUCGGAACUAAUAUGGCAAGGAAUAAAAUCAGAUUUUGUAACAUUUACUUUCAAAUUUCCAGUGGCUAUAAAAGGCCCAAAUCAAAACAAUGUAAAGGAGCCGGAUUUUUACAAAGACAAUAAUAUACACACGCAUAUACAGAAGAAAGAAAGAAGUCCAAGCAGUUUCUUAAAGGUGAUAUACCGUUAUUUAUUUAUUUAUUUAUUUCAUGCAAAUACUAUUAAAAUAAAUAAAAAGGAAUUUACCGUUGAAAUCACAUUGAAAAUCGAGACUUAUGGGCUUCCGAUCGCCAUACGGGGAGGAGUAGGCGGCGGCGUGUGGGCGCGUGAGUCCGAUGACCGGGGAUCGGCUCGACGGAGACCAGAACUCGGAGGACUGCUCUCAACUCUCUUUCAGAGAGUUUUUCAAGUUUUUUUUUAAAAACCGGGUGCAGAAUGAUUUUAGAACUAAAGUUUGGCUUAUAUAGCACAAAUGAAACGGUGCCGUUUUGGUUUAAUCCAAUAAGCACGAAACGAGGUCGUUUCAAAGCUUAGGAUCCGCGCGUUGACCCGAUGACCCCGGGAGGAUCCGC